GAUGAAGAACGCAGCGAAAUGCGAUAAGUAAUGUGAAUUGCAGAAUUCAGUGAAUCAUCGAAUCUUUGAACGCAUCUUGCGCUCCUUGGUAUUCUGAGGAGCAUGCCUGUUUGAGUGUCAUUAAAUUCUCAACUACACUGACUUUGAAUUGGUGUGGCUUGGAUUUGGGGGGAAAAUUGUUGUGGGCUUUUUGUAUAGUCUGCUCCCCUGAAAUUGAUUAGCGGUACCUUUGUGGAACUGUCUACAGGUGUGAUAAUUAUCUACAUCUUAGACAUCUGCUGGAAAGCUGCUUUCUAAACCUUACUUGUAUUGACAAUCUUGACCUCAAAUCAGGUAGGACUACCCGCUGAACUUAAGCAUAUCAAUAAGCGGAGGA
RNAcentral lists this unclassified non-coding RNA (376 nucleotides) under soil metagenome. RNAcentral's name for it is "partial contains 5.8S ribosomal RNA, internal transcribed spacer 2, and large subunit ribosomal RNA". The stretch from base 1 to 120 matches the Rfam family "5.8S ribosomal RNA", at positions 35 to 154 of the family's 154-position model. The record is from RNAcentral.